RNAcentral lists this ribosomal RNA (317 nucleotides) under uncultured archaeon. RNAcentral's name for it is "bacterial SSU rRNA". It matches the Rfam family "Archaeal small subunit ribosomal RNA", at positions 432 to 748 of the family's 1478-position model. The record is from RNAcentral.
GAAGAAAGGGCCGGGCAAGACCGGUGCCAGCCGCCGCGGUAAUACCGGCGGCUCGAGUGGUGGCCGCUAUUACUGGGCUUAAAGGGUCCGUAGCUUGAUAACUGGGUCCCUUGAGAAAUCCGCCAGCUUAACUGGCGGGCGUUCAGGGGAAACUUGUUUUCUAGGGACCGGGAGAGGUGAGGGGUACUGCCGGGGUAGGAGUGAAAUCCUGUAAUCCCGGUGGGACCACCUAUGGCGAAGGCAUCUCACCAGAACGGGUCCGACAGUGAGGGACGAAAGCUGGGGGAGCAAACCGGAUUAGAUACCCGUGUAGUCCC